CCUACGGGAGGCUGCAGUGGGGAAUAUUGGGCAAUGGGCGCAAGCCUGACCCAGCAACGCCGCGUGAAGGAAGAAGGCUUUCGGGUUGUAAACUUCUUUUAAGAGGGAAGAGCAUGACACUAUACCUCUUGAAUAAGCCACGUCUAACUGCGCGCCAGCAGCCGCGGUAAUACGUAGGUGGCAAGCGUUGUCCGGAUUUACGGGGUGUAAAGGGCGUGUAGCCGGGCUGACAAGUCAGAUGUGAAAUCCCGUGGCUCAACCACGGAACUGCAUUUGAAACUGUCGGUCUUGAGUAUCGGAGAGGCAGGCGGAAUUCCUGGUGUAGCGGUGAAAUGCGUAGAUAUUAGGAGGAACACCAGUGGCGAAGGCGGCCUGCUGGACGAAAACUGACGGUGAGGCGCGAAAGCGUGGGGAGCAAACAGGAUUAGAUACCCGGGUAGUC
This 442-nucleotide ribosomal RNA is filed under the name uncultured bacterium. RNAcentral describes it as "partial 16S ribosomal RNA". It matches the Rfam family "Bacterial small subunit ribosomal RNA", at positions 338 to 795 of the family's 1533-position model. The record is from RNAcentral.